Unclassified non-coding RNA from Erinaceus europaeus (western European hedgehog), 322 nucleotides. Its record names the gene 7SK. It matches the Rfam family "7SK RNA". From Rfam's summary of the family: 7SK was discovered as an abundant small nuclear RNA in the mid-70s but a possible function has only recently been suggested. Two independent studies have found that 7SK RNA binds the CDK9/cyclin T complex (known as elongation factor P-TEFb). NCBI's taxonomy places the organism in Eukaryota, Metazoa, Chordata, Mammalia, Eulipotyphla, Erinaceidae. The record is from Ensembl.
GGAUGUGAGGGCGAUCUGACUGUGAUAUCUGUCACCCCAUUGAUCGCCAGGGUUGAUUCAGCUGAUCUAGCUGGCUAGGCGCCUGGGUGUCCCCUUCCUCCUUCACCGCUCCGUGUGCGUCCCUCCCAAAGCUGCGUGCUCAGUGAAAGAGGACAGCCUUCCCCGAAUAGAGACGGACCAGUCUUGGGUCUAGGGUAUACGAGUAGCUGCACUCCUCUGCUAGAACCGUCAAACAAGCUCUCAAGAAUCAAAUUUCUCUGUCAGUAAUUAGAGUUACAAUAAUUGGAAAUACAUGUUUUUCAUAGAUUCUCCUGCUGCAAAA